RNAcentral lists this long non-coding RNA (3182 nucleotides) under Cricetulus griseus (Chinese hamster). RNAcentral's name for it is "lncRNA (ENSCGRG00015036421.1)". The record is from RNAcentral. Lineage: Eukaryota; Metazoa; Chordata; Mammalia; Rodentia; Cricetidae.
CUGCUCUCUGCUCUGCAGUCACCACGUUUCUUCCAGACAGGCCUGUGCACACUCCCUCUCCCUACCCUUUACUAAUAAAACUCUUUUUGUUUUGUUUUUUUUUUCGAGACAGGGCUUCUCUGUGGCUUUGGAGGCUGUCCUGGACUAGCUCUUGUAGACCAGGCUGGUCUCAAACUCACAGAGAUCCUCUGCCUCUGCCUCCCGAGUACUGGGGUUAAAGGUGUGUGCCACCCUGCCCCACCCCCCCUCCCGCCACUAAUAAAACUCUUCAGUGGGUUUUGUUGUGUAUCUUGUGGUCUGUUCUCGAGCACCGUACAUAGCAACUUGCUAUCCCCUUUGAUGUUUCCCAUCCCAGUUCACAGGACCCUCUUCCCCCAGAUAGCCAUUCUCUUUAUAAUUCUCGAAAAUAUCCUCCCUCUCACCUUUCUCUGCUUUCUCCGAGAGACAGCCUUGGCUAUUUGGAAUACACUUUUUCUUUUCUACCCACAGGGCAGCCAGUUUGGUCUCUAUCACGUAGAUGCUGGGGAUCAAACUCAGCUGUUAGGCUUGGUGACGAGCAAACACCUUUGCCCACUCUGAAGCUGGUCUUGAACUUCUGGACUCAAAGAGAUCAUCCUACCUCAGCUUUGCUGUCAGGUUAGAGUUCAGGGGCAUUUGUACCUAGUUCAUUUAAACUAAUCAUUUAUUUAUCUGAAUUUUUAAUUUCUUUUGUUUGUUUUGUUUUUUUGAGACAGGGUUUCUCUGUGUAACAAUUCUGAAACUAGAUUUGUAGACUAGGCUGUCCUCCAACUCACAGAGAUCUGCCUGCCUCUGUCUCCCAAGUACUGGUAUUAAAGACAUGUGAAAACACUUCCUGGCUUUAAUUAUUAUUUUUUUUAAAAUUAGCUUCUCCCAGGCAGCUAAAAGAAGGCAAGUGAAGUUUUCUUUUUUCUUUUGAUACAGGGUCUCAUGCAGCCCAGCUGGUCUCAAAAUCACUAUGUGUCCAAGUAUAGCCUUGAACUUGUGAUUCUCUUGCCUCUGUCUUCCCAAGUGUUCUUAACACAGGCCUGCACUACCACCUGUUUUAUGUGGCGCUGGAGGCCGGACCCAGGGUUUCAUGAAUCCUGGACAAGCUGUACUCCCUGCCCGCCAGUAUUCUUUUCAAUAUUCUGCUAAGAAAUCUCCUUUUCUGGAUCACCAAGAAUGUUAGGCCCGGGGAUGUGGCUCAGCCUUAGAGUGCUGGUAUGCUCGACUCCUAGAUUCAACAGAUGAAAUUCCACAGGAAAAGCAAUCGACCACACCCCUCCCCACUGUUACUUCUGGCUGAAACUUGCAGCUGUAAAUACUUUGUCCCAUUGAAGUAUUUAUGUUCCAUAAUCCUGGAAUGUCUUACUUCCAGAAUUGGGAGCCACACCUUUGAAAAUGUUAUCAUCAAAAGGUAAAGCCCUUGUUUGCUUCUCCCUGAGGAAGGGUGGGAGCAUCUGUGUAAGGACUUGAAAAGCCAGAUGUAGUUCAGACCUGUGAUCCCAGAAUUUAGGAGGCAGAGGCAGGAGGAUCAGGAGUUCAAGGGCAUGCCCAGUUACAUACCAAGUUCAAGACCUACAGAAAAGCUGGCACCAAAACAAAUAUACAACCCCAAAACAGGCAAAACAAAAUCUAACAAAAAGGGCACAGAUGAUAUGGCCACACCCUUUAACUUCAGUCCUGGGGCUAGAGAGAUGACUCUUGUGUAGAACCUGGGUGUGGUUCCCAGUACCUACAUAGUAGUUUACAACCACCCAGGGGAUCUGAUGACCUCUUCUGGACUCUGAGGGUACGGGACUCUGCACAUGGGACAUAUACAUACAGGCAAAACACAUACACACAUAAAAUAAAAUAAAUACAUCUUUAAAAACAAAUGAAAAGAAAAGAACUUUAAUACAUGGUUUUCUGGGUAGGACGGGCUCAGGCGUGUGCUUCCAGUGCCCAUUGUCUCAUGAAGAGUCUCUCAGCACUGGAGAUGAAUAAGCAGGGAACCGAGAUCUUGACGCUACUAGAAACUCCCUUAAUUCCUGUUCUCAGGGUCCUGUGAGGUGACAGUUCAGCUCCUCUGCAUCUCAGGUUUAAAGAUAAAGACUCCAGUGGGAAGGGCAGGAAGUGCAAAGCCUUUUCUGAAGGGCCCAGACCCUCAUCCAGCCCUGCCUUGGCAUCCAUGACAGGCUGCUGAAAAGACCCAGCAAGAUGUAGGCCCCUCACUCAGCAGCAUGUGCUGAGCCCCCGACCUUGCUCUAAUCACUAGGAAGCAACUGCCAGGAACCAAUCAGAAGUUAGCUGGUGGGCUCUGGAUGUGCUUUACUGAUAACAGUGGAAUUCAGGGUGUAGCAACUGCCCUGGGAGGGCCUCUAGGCAUGGCAACCUGUCUGUAGCCACAGCUGACCAAUCAACUCAGUACAGGUUGCACCAAUCCUGAGACUGUUGUUAUGCAACUAACAGACACCCCCCCCAGACACUCCCCUUGCUCUACCCCAAUAUAUGCCCUGCCCAACUGCUGCUUGGGGUCCCUCCCACUCCACUUGCUAUGAGGAUGGACAGAGGACCCCUUGGGAUCUGUUCUCUUGGUGGUUUUGGGGGUUCAGAGUCUGGGCACAUUUCCAGUCCAGCCUUGAAAGUCAGACAUCACUACAUACCCUGAAUUGAAUGUUGCCUGUUGACCAGUGAGCCAGAAAUUAACCCAGAAGAAGGGAGAAGAAAGAAUCCCAGCCUAUGUAAUCAUGGGAUGUGUGUCAAGGCCACACUGAAAUAGAGAGAGAACCCACAGAAAGAAGAUGAUGUGACCAUCUUGAAAAAGCACAACAGGACACAGUCACCUGUAUUCCAAGCAUUCAGAUGUAACAUGUUAAACAGAGACAUUUCUAUCCCCAAAUAGACAUCCUUCUUUGCCUUCUUGUUUUCCAGAACAUUCAAUUCUUUAGAAAUCUGUGCUUUUGUGAAUCUUUUUUUCCAAAUUCAUGCUCUGGGCAACUGUUGACUGCCAAACCGUCUUCAUUGUUUGCUCUAGCACUGAACCCCAGGGACAGCAGCCUCCUGGGAUUUUUAUAUUUGCUAUUUCAAAAAUAAAGCCAUAAAACUGGUAAUGAGAUAUGAAAAUUAAUAACAUUAAUCUUUCUGUCUUUGAAAGUAAUUACAUAGUCACUGCACAGAGUUGAGAAAACAGAGAUUAAAUA